UGCGUAGGGUGCGAGCGUUAAUCGGAAUUACUGGGCGUAAAGCGUGCGCAGGCGGUUUGAUAAGACAGGCGUGAAAUCCCCGGGCUUAACCUGGGAACUGCAUUUGUGACUGCAUCGCUGGAGUGCGGCAGAGGGGGAUGGAAUUCCGCGUGUAGCAGUGAAAUGCGUAGAUAUGCGGAGGAACACCGAUGGCGAAGGCAAUCCCCUGGGCCUGCACUGACGCUCAUGCACGAAAGCGUGGGGAGCAAACAGG
This 253-nucleotide ribosomal RNA is filed under the name uncultured prokaryote. Its description in RNAcentral is "partial 16S ribosomal RNA". It matches the Rfam family "Bacterial small subunit ribosomal RNA", at positions 524 to 776 of the family's 1533-position model. The record is from RNAcentral.